AUAGAGAGCUAAACCAUUGCAAUUUGGUGCUCGAAGGUUUCCCCUUCCGAAGGUGAAAGUACACGACAGUUAGUUCAAAAAAUACAAUGAGUCGAAGAUCCGAUAGUCCGGAGCCGGAUUCGAUGUUGAACUUAGCACCCGCUAGGGUGGCUAACCACCGUGUUAGGUCGCCAAGCGUAUCGGUUCCUUCCUUUGAAUCAUUGUCAGAAAGCUCGUGUCUAUCUUCCGAGCCCGACAACAAUAACUGCGAGGAUUCGACGUCGAUGACGGAAUACCCGACUGGUCGUCCGGAAGUAACAUCGAUGUUGCUGGUCGGGUGUCCUCGAUGCUUCAUGUACGUUAUGCUGUCCGAGGUCGAUCCCAAGUGCCCUCGAUGUAAGAGUACCGUGUUCCUUGAUUUUCUUAACGAAGAGAACGCCAAAUGGACAAAGAACUAAUCAGAAAGAAAGUGUAAGAUUCUAAGUGCAAGAUUCUUACUUUCUUUUUAUUUCUCGUUUAUGUAAUGAUACUGAAACUCGAAAUUGAAUAAAGUUUGUAAAAAUUAAAAUUUAAA
This is a long non-coding RNA of Hibiscus syriacus, 553 nucleotides long. RefSeq lists it as uncharacterized. The record is from RefSeq and is a predicted model, not a curated record. NCBI's taxonomy places the organism in Eukaryota, Viridiplantae, Streptophyta, Magnoliopsida, Malvales, Malvaceae. The transcript is spliced from 2 exons.